Molecule: transfer-messenger RNA, 363 nt
Filed under: Staphylococcus cohnii
Lineage: Bacteria; Bacillati; Bacillota; Bacilli; Caryophanales; Staphylococcaceae
Description: Standard tmRNA
Rfam family: transfer-messenger RNA
About the family: Bacterial tmRNA, also known as 10Sa RNA or SsrA, is named for its dual tRNA and mRNA-like properties.
Source: RNAcentral
GGGGCUGAUUCUGGAUUCGACGGGAUUUGCGAAACCCAAGGUGCAUGCCGAGGGGCGGUUGGCCUCGUAAAAAGCCGCAAAAAAUAGUCGCAAACGACGAAAACUACGCUUUAGCAGCUUAAUAACCUGCUUAGAGCCCUCUCUCCCUAGCCUCCGCUCUUAGGACGGGGAUCAAGAGACGUCAAACCCAAAAGAGAUCGCGUGGAAGCCCUGCCUGGGGUUGAAGCGUUAAAACUUAAUCAGGCUAGUUUGUUAGUGGCGUGUCCGUCCGCAGCUGGCAAGCGAAUAUAAAGACUGACUAAGCAUGUAGUACCGAGGAUGUAGGAAUUUCGGACGCGGGUUCAACUCCCGCCAGCUCCACCA